CAUUAGUUUCAAUUGUUUGUAAAUGGACCACCUAUUUGCAUCUAUUUUUAAAAUGGAUGUUUUAUGCCUUAGGACCGCAUAUGGUGGAAAUGCCAUUCAGUCCGCAUGAAACAAUUUUUCUUUCCUUGGUUUAAAUAAAUGCAUCUUCAUCAAAAAUGGGAAAAAAAAACAUAAUUUUUGGGUUAUCAUAUUCAUGAGGUUUAUUGCUGGUUACCAAACUUGUAGCAUCUCUCAAUGUUUUUUUUUAUGAGAAAUGUUUUGGUUAGUUUGGAACCUACCUAGUACACUUGUGCAUACGAAAAAGUUUUCAUAUAACAAUUCUUCCCCAUCUCAAGAGGUAUUGAGGUUUUUUCACACCAAUCGCUCCAUCUUAUGGUAAACUAUUUUGCCACAAGGUAAAUUCAUAUGAAAAACCUCCACACGUCUUGACAAGAGGAAGUGCUUUCAUAUGAAAUUUUUUCAUGUAAAUUUCUUCAUACAAACCAAAUGUACCCUUAGGUGAAAUUGAUAAAAUAAUCAUAAAGAAAAGAAAGAGAGGAUGAUCUGUUACAAUUAACACCUUUGAGCUCGAUCUUUCUUAAAUUCUCAUAGUACAUGACUUGGAGUGGAUUUUUUGUAUUUUGAUUUCUAGAUGAUUUGUGAGGUGAUUGGAAUCAUAUGCAUACACAAACAUUAAUGAAAGGGUGGCUUCUGUAUAAGAUGCCCACUUAUAUUACACAAGUACAACACAUUUUAAUAUUUUUUGGAAGAUGUAGUUUAGGUCUCGAAAACUCAUAACUAUUGAAAAUCUUCAAGAUAAAUGGUCUAUGUAACUUGUUACAAGAUGUACUAUUUUUAAGAUUUAAAAUUAUUAUUAUUUUUAUAUUCAUACAUGUUGAGGUCGAGAUGAUGAAUUGAAAGAUUUUGCAACUGAACACUAAUAUAAAAAGAUUUUUUAACAAAAUUGAAGCAACUGCGAGCCCUAUUGUCCUUCAUGAGUAUCCCAUACAAAUAAAUGGAUAGCGCUCAAGGUUGCUUUUAGGGUUACAAAAAAACGGAUCAGGAGGGUAGAUUGGAUCCCCUUUGCACCAAUUUGGAUCGGUUGGUGCAAGUGACACGCCUGGUCUACAACAAAAAAUAAAAAAUAAAGCAAAGCAAAGAAAAGAUGUUAUAUAGAUUUAUCUUAUGUUUCUGUGACGAUUUAAGUCCUAAAUUAAAUAUAAGAAACAUGGAUUAUUUGGUAUAACCGAGAGAUCAUGGCUGAUUCUUGAGAGAGAAUCGGCCCAAUCAACCCCCAUCCGAUCGCGAACCAUAGCAUUUGAAAGGAAAAUUUAUAAAAGUGCACUCAAGAGUUGAACUACUUAAUAUUUUAUCUAUUUUUAAAAUUUAAUUUUGAAAAAAUUCAUCAAAUACAUGUAGAAUUAAAAUAAGUACAAUAUUAAAUACAGGCUAAGUAAAUUGUUUUUCAUAAGGCCAAAAGAUUUCAUGCUCCUGUUGGAACAUACUGUCCAGUUAAGCAAAACCUAAUCCAAGAGCAUUUUUAGGACAAAAUUUAUAUUAAAAAAACCCCAAGUUAGGCUUCUGCCCCAGGGAGCAAGUGUACAGUAUGCUCCGGUAUACGAGAGCAAAUGCUUUUGCCUUUAGAAAAGCAUAGAUGAUACUUGAUAGCUUCAUUUUGGUAGAAUUUAGCGUGAUUUGAAGCAGUGAAAAUGGCGGUGAGCGAUGUGCCCUCGAAAGAGGCGAGCGUGCUGCGAGGCCACGAAGGCGCAGUGCUCGCUGCGCGCUUCAAUGGCGAUGGCAACUACUGCCUCAGCUGCGGAAAGGAUCGCACCAUUCGCCUCUGGAACCCCCACCGAGGCAUCCAUAUCAAGACCUACAAAUCCCAUGGACGCGAAGUUAGAGACGUCCACGUUACAAGGGACAACUCCAAAUUAUGUUCUUGUGGGGGUGAUAGGCAAAUCUUUUAUUGGGAUGUGUCAACGGGUCGUGUAAUUCGAAAAUUUCGUGGUCAUGAUAGUGAGGUGAAUUCUGUGAAGUUCAAUGAAUAUGGAGCUUCCAUUAUAUCAGCUGGAUAUGAUCGUUCUGUGAGGGCAUGGGACUGCCGGUCCCACAGCACUGAGCCAAUUCAGACAAUUGACACAUUUUCAGACAGUGUGAUGUCUAUUUGUUUGACAAAAACGGAAAUUAUUGCUGGAAGUGUGGAUGGGACAAUUCGCACUUUUGACAUUCGUGUUGGUAGGGAAGUUGUUGAUGACUUCGGACAGCCUGUGAACUGCAUAUGCAUUUCAAAUGACAGUAACUGCGUAUUAGCAAGUUGCUUGGAUUCCACACUCCGCCUUCUAGAUAGGUCGACUGGAGAGCUCCUUCAAGAAUAUAAAGGCCAUACAUGCAAGUCUUACAAGAUGGAUUGUUGCUUCACAAACACCGAUGCCUAUGUCACUAGUGGAUCUGAAGAUGGACAGAUUUUCUUUUGGGAUUUAGUAGAUGCCAGUGUCAUGUCAUCUUUCAGAGCCCAUGCUUCAGUGGUAAGCACAAGUUUUGCACCUGGAUAAUGUUCUGCGAUAAUGAACAUUCUAACCAUCAAGCAGGUGAUCGAUUCUUAUAUGAAGCGUAGUCUUUUUUAAUGUAAUUUGCAACACCGGUGGCGUCUCCAUUCCAAAGUUCGAAGAUGCUUGGCCAAGGGGUAACGAGCGUGAGUUAUCACCCAAAAGAUAGUUGCAUGAUCACAUCCUCAGUUGAUGGCACAAUUCGUGUUUGGAAGACAUGAGUUGGUGUGUCCCCAUCGCUCAAAUAUUUGUAGCUUUUGUCUUGUGAUUUAUCCAAAAAGCUUCAAGUUCAAGGUUUCUUCUUAGUUCUCUGUCACAAUUGAUGUCAUUAUUUAGUGGGAGCUUCUCUGAACUAUUUGUUGUCUCGCACCUACGUAACUGCAUGUUGUCAAAAUUAAAACAGCAGAAAGGCAAGACAGAAAGAAGGAAUUUGAAGGAAAGGAAGGGUGAAACACACCGUCAAGUUGUAAUAGCAACGAGGUGCAUGUGUUACUGAAUCUUUUGCCAUCCCAACAUUAGCAGAAAACCUAUUAUCAAAUGAUUUCGAAAAACUUUGAAGUAAUUUUGCCUUUGGACGCUAUUGA
Molecule: RNA transcript, 3109 nt
Organism: Amborella trichopoda
Lineage: Eukaryota; Viridiplantae; Streptophyta; Magnoliopsida; Amborellales; Amborellaceae
Gene name: Transducin/WD40 repeat-like superfamily protein
Source: RefSeq, a predicted model, not a curated record